RNAcentral lists this ribosomal RNA (246 nucleotides) under uncultured Lactobacillus sp. RNAcentral's name for it is "partial 16S ribosomal RNA". It matches the Rfam family "Bacterial small subunit ribosomal RNA", at positions 116 to 355 of the family's 1533-position model. The record is from RNAcentral. Lineage: Bacteria; Bacillati; Bacillota; Bacilli; Lactobacillales; Lactobacillaceae.
CGUGGGUAACCUGCCCAAGAGAUCGGGAUAACACCUGGAAACAGAUGCUAAUACCGGAUAACAACAGAUGAUGCCUAUCAACUGUUUAAAAGAUGGUUCUGCUAUCACUCUUGGAUGGACCUGCGGUGCAUUAGCUAGUUGGUAGGGUAACGGCCUACCAAGGCGAUGAUGCAUAGCCGAGUUGAGANACUGAUCGGCCACAUUGGGGCUGAGACACGGCCCAAACUCCUACGGGAGGCAGCAGCC